AAGUCGUAACAAGGUUUCCGUAGGGUAUGUUUUCUCUCCCACCCACCCUUGUGACUGUAUACUAACCUGAUAAUAGUGAACCUGCGGAAGGAUCAUUAAUGAGUAAGGGUCUCGAUUAAUACAGAGCCCGACCUCCAACCCUUUGUCUACCUUACCAAUGUUGCUUCGGCGAACCCGCUUCUAACGAGGCCGCCGGAGGGUCGUCAAACACCCUCUGGUCAGUGCUCGCCGGUGGCCGUAACCAAAACCUUGUUAAGAACCUGUCUGAGUAUAAACAAACAAAUAAGUAAAAACUUUCAACAACGGAUCUCUUGGUUCUG
Molecule: unclassified non-coding RNA, 320 nt
Filed under: air metagenome
Description: partial contains small subunit ribosomal RNA, internal transcribed spacer 1, and 5.8S ribosomal RNA
Source: RNAcentral